This 369-nucleotide long non-coding RNA is filed under the name Lathyrus oleraceus (garden pea). Its description in RNAcentral is "Pisum sativum (pea) long non-coding RNA (PSAT_LNC035685)". The record is from RNAcentral. Lineage: Eukaryota; Viridiplantae; Streptophyta; Magnoliopsida; Fabales; Fabaceae.
UUUAAGGGGUUGUGACCAUAGAAUUAAUCUAGAAUAAUUUAGAGUUAUUUUAGAUAAUUAAAAUAAUGAUUUAAUUGAUUAUUUAAGUAAUUAAUAAGAAAAGGAGAGUGUGUAGAGAUUUUAAGGGCAAUGUGGUAAUUACAAGGUUAAGUUGAGGGUAGAAUAGGAAAGUCUAUUGGGAGAAAGAGGGUUACUAGAAAAAAAUAGUAAUUGGGAAAAAGGAAUCCAAAUUUCAUCGUACGUAGAAAUUUGGAGAAAAGAGAAGGAAGGCUAGGGCAAGAGGCUAUGGGUGACCUAGAGGAAGAUAGUAAAAGUUUUGCUUCAGAAUUUUUGCAAGGAAUUCAGGUAAGGGUGGGAACUUGUUUCAAU